UCCCUGGUGGUCCAGUGGCUAAGACUCAGCGUUUCCAAUGCAGGGGUCCCAGGUUCAAUCCCUGGGCAGGGUA
Molecule: transfer RNA, 73 nt
Filed under: Bos taurus (domestic cattle)
Lineage: Eukaryota; Metazoa; Chordata; Mammalia; Artiodactyla; Bovidae
Also listed under: 2 other names
Rfam family: tRNA
About the family: Transfer RNA (tRNA) molecules are approximately 80 nucleotides in length.
Source: Rfam by way of RNAcentral